RNAcentral lists this ribosomal RNA (600 nucleotides) under Paenibacillus sp. 110. Its description in RNAcentral is "bacterial SSU rRNA". It matches the Rfam family "Bacterial small subunit ribosomal RNA", at positions 107 to 694 of the family's 1533-position model. The record is from RNAcentral. Lineage: Bacteria; Bacillati; Bacillota; Bacilli; Caryophanales; Paenibacillaceae.
UGAGUAACACGUAGGCAACCUGCCCUCAAGUUUGGGACAACUACCGGAAACGGUAGCUAAUACCGAAUAGUUGUUUUCUUCGCCUGAAGGAAACUGGAAAGACGGAGCAAUCUGUCACUUGGGGAUGGGCCUGCGGCGCAUUAGCUAGUUGGUGGGGUAACGGCUCACCAAGGCGACGAUGCGUAGCCGACCUGAGAGGGUGAUCGGCCACACUGGGACUGAGACACGGCCCAGACUCCUACGGGAGGCAGCAGUAGGGAAUCUUCCGCAAUGGGCGAAAGCCUGACGGAGCAAUGCCGCGUGAGUGAUGAAGGUUUUCGGAUCGUAAAGCUCUGUUGCCAGGGAAGAACGCUUGGGAGAGUAACUGCUCUCAAGGUGACGGUACCUGAGAAGAAAGCCCCGGCUAACUACGUGCCAGCAGCCGCGGUAAUACGUAGGGGGCAAGCGUUGUCCGGAAUUAUUGGGCGUAAAGCGCGCGCAGGCGGUCAUUUAAGUCUGGUGUUUAAUCCCGGGGCUCAACCCCGGAUCGCACUGGAAACUGGGUGACUUGAGUGCAGAAGAGGAGAGUGGAAUUCCACGUGUAGCGGUGAAAUGCGUAGA